CUACGGGACGCAGCAGUCGAGAGUCUUCCACAAUGGGCGAAAGCCUGAUGGAGCGACGUCGCGUGCAGGAUGAAGUCCUUAGGGGCGUAAACUGCUUUUGUAGAGGAGAAAUUUUGAUGAUAUUACUCUAAGAAUAAGGGGUUGCUAAACUCGUGCCAGCAGCAGCGGUAAUACGAGUACCCCGAGCGUUAUCCGGAUUUAUUGGGCGUAAAGGGUGUGUAGGAGGCCAUAUUAGUCCCACUUUAAAGAUCUCGGCUUAACCGAGAAGAUGGGCGGGAAACGGUAUGGCUAGAGGAUGCGAGAGGUUUGCGGAACCCAUGGUGUAGGGGUGAAAUCCGUUGAUAUCAUGGGGAACACCGAAGGCGAAGGCAGCAAACUGGCGCAUAUCUGACUCUGAGACACGAAAGCGUGGGUAGCGAAUGGGAUUAGAUACCCGUGUAGUC
Molecule: ribosomal RNA, 443 nt
Filed under: uncultured bacterium
Lineage: Bacteria
Description: partial 16S ribosomal RNA
Rfam family: Bacterial small subunit ribosomal RNA
Source: RNAcentral